This 484-nucleotide ribosomal RNA is filed under the name uncultured bacterium. RNAcentral describes it as "partial 16S ribosomal RNA". It matches the Rfam family "Bacterial small subunit ribosomal RNA", at positions 30 to 507 of the family's 1533-position model. The record is from RNAcentral.
AUUGAACGCUGGCGGCAGGCCUAACACAUGCAAGUCGAGCGGAUGAAGGGAGCUUGCUCCUGGAUUCAGCGGCGGACGGGUGAGUAAUGCCUAGGAAUCUGCCUGGUAGUGGGGGAUAACGUCCGGAAACGGGCGCUAAUACCGCAUACGUCCUGAGGGAGAAAGUGGGGGAUCUUCGGACCUCACGCUAUCAGAGGAGCCUAGGUCGGAUUAGCUAGUUGGUGGGGUAAAGGCCUACCAAGGCGACGAUCCGUAACUGGUCUGAGAGGAUGAUCAGUCACACUGGAACUGAGACACGGUCAAGACUCCUACGGGAGGCAGCAGUGGGGAAUAUUGGACAAUGGGCGAAAGCCUGAUCCAGCCAUGCCGCGUGUGUGAAGAAGGUCUUCGGAUUGUAAAGCACUUUAAGUUGGGAGGAAGGGCAGUAAGUUAAUACCUUGCUGUUUUGACGUUACCAACAGAAUAAGCACCGGCUAACUUCGUG